UAUUAUACUUAGUUUAAAUUGUUUUAGAUCUUUGAGUAGUAAUCAGGUAUAGUCUCGAAACUCAAAGAAUUUGGCGGUAUUUAAGUCUAGUUAGAGGAAUUUGUGCAGUAAACGAUAGUCCCCGAGUAUCUUGCCCUGUUUUGUUAACUAUUCAGUUUGUAUACCGCCAUUAUUAGAUAAUCUUUUUAGGGAGUUAUUACAAUUAAGUUAAAUUAAGUAUAUUAGGUCAAGGUGCAGCUUAUAAUAGGGGUGCCAUGAAUUACAAUGAUAUAAGAGGUAUACGGAUUGAUCGCGGGAGGUGCGGUCUUUAAGGUGGAUUUAAUUGUAAGGGGCGUAUAUUGUGCGCGGCCUGAUAGGAGCUCUUGGAUAUGUACAYAUCGCCCGUCGUUC
This 390-nucleotide ribosomal RNA is filed under the name Alpheus ulalae. Its description in RNAcentral is "partial 12S ribosomal RNA". Lineage: Eukaryota; Metazoa; Arthropoda; Malacostraca; Decapoda; Alpheidae. The record is from RNAcentral.